GCCUCCGUAGCUCAGGGGAUAGAGCGCCGGUUUCCGGUACCGAAGGUCGGGGGUUCGAUUCCCUCCGGGGGCG
This 73-nucleotide transfer RNA is filed under the name Candidatus Microbacterium stercoravium. Its description in RNAcentral is "tRNA-Arg". It matches the Rfam family "tRNA". Rfam says of the family: Transfer RNA (tRNA) molecules are approximately 80 nucleotides in length. Their secondary structure includes four short double-helical elements and three loops (D, anti-codon, and T loops). Lineage: Bacteria; Bacillati; Actinomycetota; Actinomycetes; Micrococcales; Microbacteriaceae. The record is from RNAcentral.